UAACUUUCACCUUCCUCACCUGAGAAUGCUGGAGAUGUGGUUUUUGUUGUGAAUUUCAAGGCUUUGAUUAUUUCUACUCAUGCUAUGUCAGAGUGGAUUUCCUGAGAAGGUUCUGGUCAGUAAGAAGUAUUCCUACAAUUGCAGGGCACAGCAUUGAGUGCCCAAGAUCUAUCCUAGAAGCCUAGUAUGGAUCACAACAGAAGAAGCAGAGUUUUCAAUGCUAGCAGAUGUAUGAAGGAAAAGGGAAAUUAGAUGAAAAUAAAGUUCAAGAUAUUUUACA
RNAcentral lists this long non-coding RNA (280 nucleotides) under Numida meleagris (helmeted guineafowl). Its description in RNAcentral is "lncRNA (ENSNMEG00000010673.1)". Lineage: Eukaryota; Metazoa; Chordata; Aves; Galliformes; Numididae. The record is from RNAcentral.